RNAcentral lists this ribosomal RNA (460 nucleotides) under uncultured bacterium. RNAcentral's name for it is "partial 16S ribosomal RNA". It matches the Rfam family "Bacterial small subunit ribosomal RNA", at positions 338 to 795 of the family's 1533-position model. The record is from RNAcentral.
CCUACGGGGGGCAGCAGUGAGGAAUAUUGGUCAAUGGACGGAAGUCUGAUCCAGCCAUGCCGCGUGCAGGAAGACGGCUCUAUGAGUUGUAAACUGCUUUUGUACAAGGGUAAACCUGAAUACGUGUAUUCAGCUGAAAGUACUGUACGAAUAAGGAUCGGCUAACUCCGUGACAGCAGCCGCGGUAAGACGGAGGAUCCAAGCGUUGUCCGGAUUUAUUGGGUUGAACGGGUGCGUAGGCGGAUUGAUAAGUUAGAGGUGAAAUGUCCGGGCUUAACUCGGGAACUGCCUCUAAUACUGUUGAACUAGAGAGUAGAUGCGGUAGGCGGAAUGUAAGGUGUAGCGGUGAAAUGCUUAGAGAUCAGACAGAACACCGAUGGCGAAGGCAGCUUACCAAUCUAUAUCUGACGUUGAGGCACGAAAGCGUGGGGAGCAAACAGGAUUAGAUACCCUAGUAGUC